GAAAGAAUCAAGAGCGACCAAGAAGUGUCCCACAAGUGUCUCCACUGAUUUAGACAGCAUAACAAAACUAAACUGAGAGAGUUGACAGGGAGGCAAACCAGGGAAGCAAGGGGAUUUUACAUCCAGGGCACGGCAGCCGAAUAAACAUCUGAAGAUUGAAUCCUGGGCAAGAAAUCUUAGAUGAAUGAUAGCCACUGGCAUUGUACUCAAGUGACAUUUUCUGGAGGCUGAUUCCAGGAUGCAUUUUUGAAACCCGGUUGGCAAGUUUCCCUGACUAUGGCUUUGGCUGAUCCUCCCCUACAAGCAUAGCUUGAUGUUACUGCACGCUACUUUGGUCUCUGCUGAUGAGGGAAGAGAAACCCGGGGAUCUUCAUUUAUUUAAAAGCUUAACUUAGAGGAUAAGAUCAGUGAACCAGUGCUGCUGCUGUUGAAGGAGAAGAAGAGAAAGAAAGAUUUGAAAAUGGAAUUCAAUAAUAAUAUAGAACCAUUGAAGAGGACUCAAGAGUAAAUGAAGAUGGGAUUGAAAACAUAAUAGAACAACUACAGAACUCAAUGGGAAGGCUUACAAAUAAAAUGAAUCAAGUAGAAGAUGUGAAUGUGUGAUUGUGUGUGUGUAAAGUAUUUGUUUAAACUGUACAAUGUGUGUAAAAUAUUUGUUUACUUUGUUCUGACUUCUGGUAUACUCUGUGUUACAACCAAACUGUAGUCCAUUAAAAAUUUAGUUGGCCAUGUUA
This 734-nucleotide long non-coding RNA is filed under the name Mus musculus (house mouse). Its description in RNAcentral is "predicted gene, 35107". The record is from RNAcentral. Lineage: Eukaryota; Metazoa; Chordata; Mammalia; Rodentia; Muridae.